RNAcentral lists this ribosomal RNA (269 nucleotides) under uncultured prokaryote. Its description in RNAcentral is "partial 16S ribosomal RNA". It matches the Rfam family "Bacterial small subunit ribosomal RNA", at positions 524 to 792 of the family's 1533-position model. The record is from RNAcentral.
UACGGAGGAUCCGAGCGUUAUCCGGAUUUAUUGGGUUUAAAGGGUGCGCAGGCGGGAGAUUAAGUCGGCGGUGAAAUUUUGCAGCUCAACUGUAAAAGUGCCUUCGAUACUGGUUUCCUUGAGUGUGGAUGAAGUAGACGGAAUUUGUGGUGUAGCGGUGAAAUGCUUAGAUAUCACGAGGAACUCCGAUUGCGCAGGCAGCUUACUAAACCACUACUGACGCUCAGGCACGAAGGCGUGGGGAUCAAACAGGAUUAGAUACCCUGGUA